UACGGAGGGUGCAAGCGUUAUCCGGAUUCACUGGGUUUAAAGGGUGUGUAGGCGGAUUGUUAAGUCAGUGGUGAAAUCUCCGGGCUCAACCCGGAAACUGCCGUUGAUACUAUCAGUCUUGAAUUCUGUUGAGGUGGGCGGAAUACAUCAUGUAGCGGUGAAAUGCUUAGAUAUGAUGUAGAACACCGAUUGCGAAGGCAGCUCACUAAGCAGCGAUUGACGCUGAGGCACGAAAGCGUGGGGAUCAAAC
This 250-nucleotide ribosomal RNA is filed under the name uncultured prokaryote. RNAcentral describes it as "partial 16S ribosomal RNA". It matches the Rfam family "Bacterial small subunit ribosomal RNA", at positions 524 to 773 of the family's 1533-position model. The record is from RNAcentral.